Molecule: microRNA precursor, 80 nt
Organism: Equus asinus (donkey)
Lineage: Eukaryota; Metazoa; Chordata; Mammalia; Perissodactyla; Equidae
Source: Ensembl
UGGAUAUAUUUCUACUCUUGAUUAAAGUUUUGUAAGAAACAAUACAGGAUUUGGGGUGGGGGAUGGGGAGGGAGGAUAUU